This 1112-nucleotide long non-coding RNA is filed under the name Marmota monax (woodchuck). Lineage: Eukaryota; Metazoa; Chordata; Mammalia; Rodentia; Sciuridae. The record is from RNAcentral.
CUUGUACUCCCAUCCCUGCUAUAUGACUAGUCCACCGACCACUCCUAUGAGAAGCCACUCCAAGCAGACUGACCCCCGCCACUCAGUGCCUCUCCUACCAUAGCACCUGCCUCCUUUCCUAUCCUAUGCGUAAGAUAUAGCAGGGUUUGAUAUCCCCAUAUGACUUCAUAGCACAGCACAAUGACAGGCACAAAGGAGUUGCUUAGGAAAUGCUGAAAGUCAAAAUUCUCAAGUCUUCUUAAAGCAGCUCUUGGUAGAACCAACAUCCAUUUACUUGCCUGUUUCCCUAUAUCUUAGCUACAAAGAGGACAGGAUAACAUCUUAUUGAGAGGCAGAACGAGGCUAUUUUUCUUUCCCCUCCUUUUUCAAACUGAGAUAAUCAGCUUCAGUUCUGAGCUAUAGUUGGGACUUUGCCAAUUUAGAUAGAGCCUUGAGCUGGCCAACAAACUCACACACUGGUGCCAUCUAUUGGUCAAAAUUUAACCUUGUUCUUUAAUUAAAGCUGCUAGUUGAUCUUUGACCACUUUAAUCCUUUUAUUCCAUUCUGUUUCUGCUUUUAAGUAAAAUGGAAACUACCAUGUGCUUGUUGUAUGACCUUGGGCAAGUUACUUAUCCACUCUGAGCCCUCUCUUCAUUGGUAUAAUGAGGAUAAUAAUGUUACUUCCUCUCAGAGUCAUUGUGAGGAUUCAACGAGAUAAUAUGUAAAACGUAUUUAGUCUGGGACCUGGCACAUAGGAAAACCAUCCAGUAGGUGAUACUAGUCAUAAUAAUAGUAGUUGUGGUAGCUGAUAUUAUUAAUUUUAUAAAAGAAAUGAGAGUAUAGGCUUGAGUCAACUAAUGACUGAUUUAUUAUUUAUUGUCUAACCAGUCAAAACAUCUUUGCAGUGUUCAUCUCCAUUAAAAACAAACAAACAAACAAAAAACCCAAAAGUUAAAUGACAGAGGUCAAGUACUGUUUCCUGGACCACUCUUGACAUUCAAAUGGCAGCCCACAGGUUUUGGGAUCCUAUCCUAAGACAGCGGUUUUCAAACCUAUUUUCAUGCUUUUACAGGAAACCCUUUCUUUGGAAUUGUGUUUUGAAUCAAGCGCAGAAGCCUAAUAUAUAAGUCAG